UACAGAGGUCCCAAGCGUUGUUCGGAUUCACUGGGCGUAAAGGGUGCGUAGGCGGUCCGACAAGUCGGGGGUGAAAUCCUGCAGCUUAACUGCAGAAGUGCCUUCGAUACUGUCGGUCUUGAGGGAGAUAGGGGUGUGCGGAACUUCCAGUGGAGCGGUGAAAUGCGUUGAUAUUGGAAGGAACGCCGGAGGCGAAAGCGGCGCACUGGAUCUCUACUGACGCUGAGGCGCGAAAGCCAGGGGAGCAAACGGG
RNAcentral lists this ribosomal RNA (253 nucleotides) under uncultured bacterium. RNAcentral's name for it is "partial 16S ribosomal RNA". It matches the Rfam family "Bacterial small subunit ribosomal RNA", at positions 524 to 776 of the family's 1533-position model. The record is from RNAcentral.